RNAcentral lists this long non-coding RNA (251 nucleotides) under Elaeis guineensis (African oil palm). RNAcentral's name for it is "long non-coding RNA (EGUI_LNC061961)". The record is from RNAcentral. Lineage: Eukaryota; Viridiplantae; Streptophyta; Magnoliopsida; Arecales; Arecaceae.
GAUCAAGACUCUUGAUGUAACCAUAAUCUGAUUAAAUUAGAUCAGCUCAAGAGUCCCAAUCAACUAGGACUCUUCCUAAUUGAUUCUUGAAUUAAACUCUUUUAAUUCUGAUGAGUCUAUAAAUUAAGAUUAACAUCUAGCAAUGUGUGAUGACUAUCUAAAAAAUUUAAAAUUUAAUGAAAAUAUCAAAGUUACCUUUCUGUGGUAAGUUACUAUGUAAUUCAAUCCUUCGAUCACACAACAUCUCAUAC